RNAcentral lists this non-coding RNA (27 nucleotides) under Homo sapiens (human). Lineage: Eukaryota; Metazoa; Chordata; Mammalia; Primates; Hominidae. The record is from RNAcentral.
UGGCAGUCUAUGACCAGGAAGAGGUUC